Molecule: long non-coding RNA, 5204 nt
Filed under: Gossypium barbadense (sea-island cotton)
Lineage: Eukaryota; Viridiplantae; Streptophyta; Magnoliopsida; Malvales; Malvaceae
Description: long non-coding RNA (GBAR_LNC014054)
Source: RNAcentral
ACAUAAUCAUACCAUGGCCAAAUCUAAUUAACUCAAGCAUAAAAUAAAUCUAUUAUAAUCAAAGGCAUAGAAACCAAGCUUAAUCAAAAGAUAUAAGCCAUUUUUGCAUGGCUCAAUAUUACAUAACCCAAAAUCAAGCAUUUCAGCUAUGCUAUAUAUGCCAUAUGAUUUAGUUCAAUUUAACAAAACACCGAAAGGAGUUGAUAGUAUGCUAGACUUUACUGAUGAUCCCCGAGCUCGUAACGACUUCAAAAUCUAUAAAACAGAGGUAAAUAAGAACACACACAAUAAGCUAUUUAAGCUUAGUAAGUCAUAAGCAAAAAUAUAUAUGUUAACACUGAGUUGACAAAGCUGAAUAUACAUGUUCUUUAAGUACAAGGUUAUCAUUUAAAUCUCUCAUACAAAUACCAUAUAGCUAAUUGUACAAAUACACAUGAACUUAUUCAAAUCUCACUAUUAAAAAUUACAUAUACCAUACCACAUUUGGCCGAAUAUACACAUAUCACAUAUGCAUACACAUAGUUCACAUUUAUAACUUUAGCAUUUAUACAAUCAAUUCAACAACCGACCUACCUUAUUUUCACAACUUGGUAUAAGUGUCACGGGCCAAAGUUCAAAGCCCGUGACCAUCGCACCAAAUGCAUCCAAUGGAGGUCUAUUGCUCAGAUGGGGAUCAUUUGGCCUACAAGAACUGGCCCGAUUCAAAGAGCUAUUGGACAAGCCUGUCAAAUUGAAGCCUAGUUGGCCCAAUAAUGAAGAGAUGGCAACUUAGGCUAAUAUGGUAACUAAUCUUAGAAGAUAGAGGGAAUCAUAUCUUGUAAAGAUUAGAUUAGAUUUGAUAAGGCUUAUCUUGUAAAUCCCUAAAAUUAAGGGAUAUGGUUAAAUCUCAUCCGUCGAUGUAAAUGUAUCUUGACUAUCGGUUUUGGGGGAGCUCAAUUAUAAAUAGAGAGCCUCCCCCUCAUUUGUACUCAUUCUAUUGUAUUCUGAAUUCUUAAGAGUAAUAGAAUUCUAAGAGCAUUUACUCAAACACCUUGUGUGCAAUCUUUUCUGUGGUUUUUUUUUUGUUUUUUGGUUAGCUUCUUUUGGCAUAAAUCGCUUCCGCUCUUCGAUUUGGUGCCUUGGAGGAGUUCUAAAAGAAUCUUCACUUGAGUUAAGGCUGACUUAGGCGAGUUUAGACGAACGGAUCACCUAAGGCCGCACGGAUUGCGAGACGAAAAGUCUAGCCCCGUGACAGUUGGUAUCAGAGCUUUUGGUUCGAAGGCACUGUUGGGAUGUCGAAAGAAGUUGUUGGUCAGAGUGAGCCAAUGGAGACCCGAGGAAGGGCCAGAAAAGUGAGUCGAUCAAGGGACUUAUUGUCGGCUUUGGAGGAUCGAGUUGUCACUCUCGAGGAGUUCAUGGGAGACGUCAAGGAGAGGAUCGACGAUGUCGAUGAUAGACACAAUGAUGGGUUGCGAACAUUGCAAGAGCAGCUCAGGGAAUUUGUGUGGGAUACUAUCGGUUCCUCGGAGAAUAAGCUGGCUGAGAAGGAUGAUGCUCUCGAGGCUAUGGUGACAGCUUUGAAGGAGGAGAUCAAUGAGUUUAAGGGAGAGCUCAAGAUUUUCAAGGCUACCAUAGGGAAUGGAAUGAUGGCUUCAAAGCCGAAGCCACAAGCGAUGGAUGUGCCCAAGCCGAAGGCGUUUAAAAGGGCAAGGUCUGCAAGUGAAGUGGACAACUUUCUUUGGGCCAUGGAGCAAUACUUCCGUGCGAUGAACAUCGAGGAUGAUGUUACAAAGGUAAACACUAUUGCUAUGUAUUUCACUGAUGUUGCUUUGUUAUGGUAGAGACGUAGGUCUACUGAUGUGAGACGUGGUGAGACCGAAAUUAGGACUUGGAAGGAGUUCCAAAGUGAAUUUAAAGCACAGUUUUACCCUGAGUAUACCGAGUAUGAAGCUCGAGCAAAGUUACGAUGGCUAACGCAAUAGGGCACGGUUAGGGAGUAUGUGUGGGAGUUCAGUGAACUCAUGCUCCAUAUAUCUGAUUUGAGUGAGAAAGAAGCAUUUUUCUCCUUUAUAGAUGGGUUGAAACCAUGGGCGAAGCAAGAAUUGCAACGUCGAGGAGUUCGGGAACUUACCAAAGCUAUGAUGGUAGUGGAGUCCAUAGUGGAACUUGCUCCGAGAAGGGACAGGUUUGAAUCUUCCAAGCCCAACAGGAGGGGCAAUGGUGGGUACCAUGAGGAGGAUGAAGAUAGACAAAGCUAUGAUGGCAAUGGUAGUAGCGGUGAUGGUGAUGAUAGGAAACCAUGAAAUGGGAAGUGGAGACCUAAUAGCCCGAAAGAAAGGAGAGGAAAGUUACGGUGCUACUUUUGUAAAUGACCGCACAUGAAGAGGGAUUGCCCAAAGGUAUCUUCAGUUUCGGCUAUCAAGAGAAGUGAUGAGCCGGAAGAGGCGAAGCCUAUUGAGAAAAAGCUAUCGAGGGUCAAUUCGAUGGUGCUCAUUCCUGAGAAGAGGAAUGGUAAAUAAGGGUUGAUGUUUGUAGACAUCAACAUUACGGGUUAGAAGCAGAGUGCUCUUAUUGAUACGGGAGCAUCAGACUUGUUCAUAUCGGAAAAGGCUACAAGGAAGCUUGGUCUGCCGAUUAGGAAAUCGAAUAAGAAGAUCAAGACAGUAAAUUCUGAGGAGGCCCUAACUAUGGGUGUAGUUCAAAAUGUGGAGCUACAAAUUGGGAAAUGGAAGAGCAAGGAAGACUUUGAGGUAAUCGAAUUAGAUGAUUACGAUUAUGUACUUGGCUUAAACUUCCUUGACAGGAUUCAAACAGUUCUGUAUCCAUGGGUCGAUCAAAUCCAUAUUAUCACCAAUCCGUUAACAAAUAUUGUUGUGCCGGUGCAUCGAAAUUUGAAAGUAGGGGAAAAGGUGUUGUCGUCAAUCCAACUAGUCGAAGAUGUUUAGUAUGAGAGGAACAUCGACUUGAUAGAACGGGUAGUUAUGAAAGCUCCUUCGGAAGUGUUAGUGGCACAAGAGUUCGAUAUGAAGCCUGCAGAUUCGAUUGUGGGGCCGACACCUUUGGGAAAUGUGGGUUGUGCAUCGGGAUUCAAGAAAAAGGGAGUGAUGCAAAAAUAGUCGGGACGAGUAAAUGUUGCGAGUAAGGUACAUUUCAAACACUUUGAUAGUGUUUUGAAUUCUGACUUGUUAGCUUGGUAAGGUCGUAGGGGCCCUUUCGAAGUUCAUGAGCAAGGAGGCCAAGGGACUGUGGGCAAUACGAAGCCAAGAUGUGAGAAUCAAGAUGAUUCAAGAGAGAACAAGUAAAAGUUGAGGCAAGGUAGAGCGAAGACUUCUUGCCAACAAGAUGUAUCAACGAGUGCAACGGUUAAAAUGAAGAGGCGACGGAAGUCGAGGCAAAGGUUCCGAAGGAAGGGACAACCUGAUCCCAAGGCAAGUCAGGAAGAAGACAAGGCAAUGAGAGAGUUCAAAGAUGAAUCAUGUCAGUACCAUUCGGAAGUCGCAACGAGGGUGUUGUGAGAAUGGGUGGGGGAUAAUGUCAUGGGCCAAAGUUCAAAGCCCGUGACCAUCACACCAAAUGCAUCCAAUGGAGGUCUAUUGCUCAGAUGGGGAUCAUUUGGCCUACAAGAACUGGCCCGAUUCAAAGAGCUAUUAGACAAGCCUGCCUGUCAGAUUGAAGCCUAGUUGGCCCGAUAAUGAAGAGAUGGCAACUUAGGCUAAUAUGGUAACUAAUCUUAGAAGAUAGAGGGAAUCAUAUCUUGUAAAGAUUAGAUUAGAUUUGAUAAAGCUUAUCUUGUAAAUCCCUAAAAUUAAGGGAUAUGGUUAAAUCUCAUCCGCCGAUGUAAAUGUAUCUUGACCGUCGGUUUUGGGGGAGCUCAACUAUAAAUAGAGAGCCUCCCCCUCAUUUGUACUUAUUCCAUUGUAUUCUGAAUACUUAAGAGUAAUAGAAUUCUGAGAGCAUUUACUCAAACACCUUGUGUGCAAUCUUUUCUGUGGCUUUUUGUUGUUCUUUUGUUAGCUUCUUUUGGCAUAAAUCGCUUCCGCUCUUCAAUUUGGUGCCUUGGAGGAGUUCUAAAUGAAUCCUCACUUGAGUUAAGGCUGACUUAGGCGAGUUUAGACAAACGGAUCACCUAAGGCCGCACGGAUUGCGAGAUGAAAUGUCUAGCCCCGUGACUUAAUUACAUACCUGAGCCUUUUAAUUCAAUUUCACAUUUGGUCUUCAAUUAACAUUACCCGUUGAACCGUUCAGAAUUAAAAAGGAUACGUGAAUAGUCGGAAGCUAGUACAAUGCCAAUGUCCCUGACGUAGUCUUACAUGUAAUCACAUAUCGAUGCCACUGUCCUAGACAGGGUCUUACACGUAAUACAAGUCGAUGCCAACGUCACAGACGUGGUCUUACACGAUAACAUAUAUCAAAAAUCCUAUGUCAUGACAUAUGUAUCCUAUUUAUUCUUAAAGUUCACAUGGGACUUUCAGAAAUUGAAUCUCGAUCGGAUCGAACUCAAAAUAUAGCUCAUUUGCUCAAUUCACAUUCGUCCAUACACAAAUAUAUUCACAAAAAUUCCAUUCAUCAUGUAACAUUUAUAUAUUAUCAAAUUUAACGACAUUUAUAUGCUUAUAGAUUUACCUCGGAUAUCAACAAGCUGUAUAUUCAACUAUUCGAUUAUUUUUAUUUUUUCUCGAUCCAAAUUCGUUUUCUUUGGUUCUUGAUCUAAACAUAUUAAAAUUAAACUUAUUUAAGUAUACUUUUACAAAAUUUAGUCUAAAAAACACAUAAAUGGGAAAAUUACCAUUUUGCCCCUAACAUUUUCACUUUUUACAAUUUAGUCCAUAUUGCAUAAAACACAAAAUACACAAAAUUUGCACAUACCAUAGCUAGGCCAAAUCUUCCUAUAGUCCAUAUAAGUCCAAAAAUUUUAUUUAAUUCACAUUUUAGUCCCUAAAAAUAUUAUUUUUGCAAUUUAGCCCUAAAUACUCAAUUUCAUCAAAAAUUCCAAUAUAAAACAUAUUAAUCUAAAAGAUAUAUUUCAUUAUUCAUCAUGAAACAUCACAAAACACAAUUAUUCAUCAAUGGAAUAACUCAAAAUAUUCAUCAAUAUCAAAAAUUCAAGCAUGGGUCGGAUAGUAUUCGAAGCAACGAUCUCAAAAACAUAAAAAUCAUCAAAAACCGAACAAAAUCCAUACCUUAAUUAAGACUUGUAAGUGCCGAAUGUUCUAAGCUUUUUCUUC